CCAGCCUCUAGGUCAAACCCCAGCCUCUAGGUCCAACCCCAGCCUCUAGGUCAAACCCCAGCCUCUAGGUCCAACCACAGCCUCUAGGUUCAACCACAGCCUCUAGGUCCAACCCCAGCCUCUAGGUCCAACCACAGCCUUUAGAUCCAACCACAGCCUCUAGGUCCAACCACAGGCUCUAGGUCCAACCACAGCCUUUAGGUCGAACCACAGUAUGUUAAGGGACUGCGGCCGUUUUAAUUCCUUUCACUCAUUAUAAUGGCAGCUGACAUGCAAUAAUGUUAAAUACAUUUAUUAAAUUUUAUUUAGUAUUUCCAUUUGCCGGUAUUACCAAAAGUCACUAUUCAUUUUGCCGGGUUGUCGAAUCAGAGCAUUUGGCUUUCUCCCCCACCAUAGAGUAUCAUCUAGGUAUGAACUGACUGAUUCAACACUCUUUCUUCUGUUAUCAUAACAUUCCAGUUAGAGGUUUCUAUUCCUGAUGUUUUG
This is a long non-coding RNA of Esox lucius (northern pike), 486 nucleotides long. Lineage: Eukaryota; Metazoa; Chordata; Actinopteri; Esociformes; Esocidae. The record is from Ensembl.